UUACGGGAGGCAGCAGUGGGGAAUUGUUCGCAAUGGGCGCAAGCCUGACGACGCAACGCCGCGUGGAGGAUGAAGGUCUUCGGAUUGUAAACUCCUGUUGCCCGGGACGAAAAGCUUCGACCUAACACGUCGAAGUCUGACGGUACCGGGUGAGGAAGCCCCGGCUAACUCUGUGCCAGCAGCCGCGGUAAUACAGAGGGGGCAAGCGUUGUUCGGAAUUACUGGGCGUAAAGGGCGCGUAGGCGGCCUGUUAAGUCGGACGUGAAAUCCCCGGGCUCAACCCGGGAACUGCGUCCGAUACUGGCAGGCUUGAAUCCGGGAGAGGGAUGUGGAAUUCCAGGUGUAGCGGUGAAAUGCGUAGAUAUCUGGAGGAACACCGGUGGCGAAGGCGGCAUCCUGGACCGGUAUUGACGCUGAGGCGCGAAAGCCAGGGGAGCAAACGGGAUUAGAUACCCCUGUAGUCCC
RNAcentral lists this ribosomal RNA (465 nucleotides) under uncultured bacterium. Its description in RNAcentral is "bacterial SSU rRNA". It matches the Rfam family "Bacterial small subunit ribosomal RNA", at positions 339 to 797 of the family's 1533-position model. The record is from RNAcentral.